This is a small nuclear RNA of Lycium ferocissimum, 103 nucleotides long. NCBI's taxonomy places the organism in Eukaryota, Viridiplantae, Streptophyta, Magnoliopsida, Solanales, Solanaceae. The record is from RefSeq and is a predicted model, not a curated record.
GUCCCUCCAAGGACAUUCGUUAAAAUUGGAAUGGCACAGAGAAAAUUAGCAUGGCGCAUGCGCAACGAUGACAUGAACAAAUCGAGAAAUGGUCCAAAUUUUU